GACGAACGCUGGCGGCGUGCUUAACACAUGCAAGUCGAACGGAAAGUCCCUGCUUUUGUGGGGUGCUCGAGUGGCGAACGGGUGAGUAACACGUGAGUAACCUGCCCUUGACGGUGGGAUAACUUCAGGAAACGGGUGCUAAUAGCGGAUAGGAGCUCCUGCUGCAUGGUGAUGGUUGGAAAGUUUCGGCGGUGUGGGAGGUGCUCGCGGCGUAUCAGCUAGUUGGUGGGGUAGUGGCUUACCAAGGCUUUGACGCGUAGCCGGACUGAGAGGGUGACCGGCCACAUUGGGACUGAGACACGGUCCAGACUCCUACGGGAGGCAGCAGUAGGGAAUCUUCCGCAAUGGGCGAAAGCCUGACGGAGCAACGCCGCGUGAGUGAUGAAGGUCUUCGGAUCGUAAAACUCUGUUAUUAGGGAAGAAAAUACGUGUAAGUAACUGUGCACAUCUCGACGGUACCUAAUCAGAAAGCCACGGCUAACUACGUG
Molecule: ribosomal RNA, 488 nt
Filed under: uncultured bacterium
Lineage: Bacteria
Description: partial 16S ribosomal RNA
Rfam family: Bacterial small subunit ribosomal RNA
Source: RNAcentral